Molecule: ribosomal RNA, 468 nt
Filed under: uncultured bacterium
Lineage: Bacteria
Description: partial 16S ribosomal RNA
Rfam family: Bacterial small subunit ribosomal RNA
Source: RNAcentral
GACGAACGCUGGCGGCGUGCUUAACACAUGCAAGUCGAACGGAAAGGCCCUGCUUUUGUGGGGUGCUCGAGUGGCGAACGGGUGAGUAACACGUGAGUAACCUGCCCUUGACUUUGGGAUAACUUCAGGAAACUGGGGCUAAUACCGGAUAGGAGCUCCUGCUGCAUGGUGGGGGUUGGAAAGUUUCGGCGGUUGGGGAUGGACUCGCGGCUUAUCAGCUUGUUGGUGGGGUAGUGGCUUACCAAGGCUUUGACGGGUAGCCGGCCUGAGAGGGUGACCGGCCACAUUGGGACUGAGAUACGGCCCAGACUCCUACGGGAGGCAGCAGUGGGGAAUCUUGCCCAAUGGGCGGAAGCCUGAUGCAGCAACGCCGCGUGCGGGAUGACGGCCUUCGGGUUGUAAACCGCUUUCGCCUGUGACGAAGCGUGAGUGACGGUAAUGGGUAAAGAAGCACCGGCUAACUACGUG